ACAGCGCUCCUCCUUGACGCCGCGAGCAGGACCCUGUCUCACUGACCCCGUGCCCACGGCGGUCCUUGCCUGCUUCUAUUCUCCCGGUUUCCCCAGUCCCGAGUAUUGGAAAGCGAGAGCGAAAGCGAAAGCAUCCUAGUCGCCGGUAGGCUGGCCUGGGCCGGGCUGGAGAGGGAGCAGGAAAUAAAAACUCGGGUGUGGGAGGAGCUGGGACGCUGGCGGCAGAGCCACUGUGGCAGCUUGAGUCUCGCGCGCGCAGGAAGCGGAGGUGGAAGUUGGGGCGCAGGAAUGUGGCUGUCCCCGCCUGUAAAUCAUGGUUGGGGAGGAGUCGCGGAGGCACCAGGCUGGGGUCUGCAGCGCGCCAUCUGCUGCAGCACACAGGAGGCGCUGAGGCUAGUUGGAGACAGAGUCUCACUGUGUCACCCAGGCUGGAGUGAAGUGGCAUGAUCUUGGCUUACUGAAACCUCCAUCUCCCAGGUUCAAGCGAUUCUCAUGCCUCAGCCACUUGAGUAGCUGGGACUACAGGAUUUCGCCAUGUUCCCCAGGCUGGUCUCAAACUCCUGAACUCAGGCAGCCCGCCUACCUUGGCCUCCCAAAGUGCUAGGAUUACAGCCCAAAUGACCCUCCAAGACCCUCUGGAGGCACCCGCAGUGCUCCUUAAUUUGCAGCUCUACAGAAUGAGACCAGCGUGGCAGCCCCCUUUCAGGACAGCUCCCGAGACGAGACGCGAGAGCAGCCCCUAAAUCUCACCCAGCAAAGCCGUUUCUUCCUAACCGGGCUGGGGAGUGCCGCGCGCUGCCAGCAGAUGGCGACAGAGGAUUAGCCUGCGGAAACCGGGUAAGGGGAGGGCGGAGCUGAGGUGAGAACCCACAUCCCUCAUGCCCAGUGGCAGCAGGACGUGGAAAUGGUUUGCCCAGCCCUCACUUCUCUUGGACAGAGCUUGAGCCUUCUGGGAAACUGCUUUUCCCUGGCUGAGUGAUUAGCGGGGGUGUUAAGUUGGGAAGCUGGACGUUCACUUCCAUGUGCUCCUCUGAGAACCAUCUGUUGGUCUGAUGGUGCUAGAUCUGAAGCUGGUGAGCCUCUUGGGGCGGCCUCAAGGGCUAACAAGAUCUCAAAUGCCCUUCUCUCCAUCAUUUGUGGUAUCCUGGAUUAUUGUGAAAAUGUAUAGGGAUUCCUGGGGAAGAGUUAAGGAUUAAAAUAUAAAGGUUUAAAUAUAAAUAACUUUAUAUAUAUAUGUUUUUUCUUGUAAACCAAUAUGUUAUAUAGUAGGAAGUUUAAUUCCUUAACUUUGGUUUUUCUCCCUAGCCUUUUUAUAGCCAACAAGAGCAAAAGCACACUGCAAUGUCCAAACGAAUUGCAGGCGUUUUCUGCUCCCUGAAGCCUGGGAAUUAAUUUAUAUACUCAGUCCCUUUUCCCUUGGCUGGCCAUUGAAGUAGUUGAACCACAGGAUUGGACUGUCCAGAAUCAUUAGCCAGAGUUCACUGUGAGUGGACGUCUUUUAGUUCUGCUUCAACGCUAUAACCAACCUUUACCAAAAGCAACAACAAAACAAAAAACUGCAGAAACCAAUGAGUUCUGUUCACAAAGGAUGGCUCCUCAUGUCAUCACACCGGCAAGGAAUGGACGAGCCUCUGAUUUUUCUCUUCUUGGCUGACUUUACAAGGUUGGAUGCAGUCCAUGAGGAUCAUGCAGCAAAGACAGAAAGUGCUGGAGAAGCCCAACCUGCAGGGCCUCACCUUUAGCUGGUUUGUGUGGUUCCACUUCAUGUAGCUGUUGGAACACCAGUCUCUCUAAUGUGCUCUAUGGGAUAGCUGUUACCUUCCACUAAUUUAUGUCUAAUACCUAUAAACCUAAAGUAUCUUUUUAAAAAUUUUAUUCCGUCUUUUUGGAGGAAAUUUUUGUGCAUGCCAGAUAUAGUGUCAAGCAUUGGGAUUGCUAAGAUGAACGUAACAUUGUCCUCACCACCCAUUAAGUCACAAUCUAGUAGAUGAGUAAAAGUAAAAAAAAAAAUUAAAAAAAGAGUUAUAACCAUAAUACAGAAGUGAACAGGUUGCAGUGGUAGCACAGAGAGGGCUUCAGGGAUGCUGUCACAGAGGUGGUAACAUUUGAGAUAUAGAUUCCAAAUUCAGAUGUGUUUGCUGUUGCAAAAUUCCAGGGUCUAUGUGCCCAGUUCCUGAACAUUCCAGUGAUAAUUUUUACCUAAAAUUUAGGUGGCAAAUGAAUCUUACUAUAACCACUUGGAACCACUGUGUUUCUGGUCCAUCUUGUGAGGCCCAUCUUUGGUUCAGAGGGAUGGAGGCAGAAGUCAUACGGCAGGUAAGCUCAAGCAGUGAUACAUGACAGGGCUUUCAGAACUGGGGCCAUGAAGAGCAGGCUUUAUUUGCAUGCUGUUUAAAAACAAGAUUUUACAACUGAUUUACCCUAUUAAACACUUCCAUGAAUAACUCAGUGGAGAUUUAUUUGCAAUAGUAGGAUCAGGUGAUUUGAAAUCUUUAGUGUGUGUGGUUGUAGCAGGAGGAGUACUGGGUUCCAGCAUUUAAUAAGAGGACCCAUGGUUUUAUGAAAAUGUCCAGAGAUAUAAUUUUGGUUAAGGUUAUACCUCAUCUUUGGUUGUACAGUUGUUUCUUUUAGUUUCAGUACAAUCUAAAACAGGAAAUGUCAAUUCACAUGGGCAUGUCAGAGAACUUAGUGGCAGCUCCUCCCAUCACAAGCCUGGUUACACGGUUAGGUGGAAAAGACAAGUUGUAUGUAGAGAUCAUUAUCAGAAAUUGCUAAACUCUGUCAUCAAAAACUCUGUUGGAAUGGAUUUUAAAAUUUCUUAAUAAAAGAUGAAACAUGA
This 2839-nucleotide long non-coding RNA is filed under the name Homo sapiens (human). Its description in RNAcentral is "PREDICTED lncRNA (TCONS_00046317)". The record is from RNAcentral. Lineage: Eukaryota; Metazoa; Chordata; Mammalia; Primates; Hominidae.